UCGAGGGGCAGCACGAUGUAGCAAUACAUUGGUGGCGACCGGCGCACGGGUGAGUAACGCGUAUGCAACCUACCUAUCAGAGGGGAAUAACCCGGCGAAAGUCGGACUAAUACCGCAUAAAACAGGGGUUCCACAUGGAAAUAUUUGUUAAAGAAUUAUCGCUGAUAGAUGGGCAUGCGUUCCAUUAGAUAGUUGGUGAGGUAACGGCUCACCAAGUCCACGAUGGAUAGGGGUUCUGAGAGGAAGGUCCCCCACACUGGUACUGAGACACGGACCAGACUCCUACGGGAGGCAGCAGUGAGGAAUAUUGGUCAAUGGGCGAGAGCCUGAACCAGCCAAGUCGCGUGAAGGAUGAAGGAUCUAUGGUUUGUAAACUUCUUUUAUAUGGGAAUAAAGUGAGGAACGUGUUCCUUUUUGUAUGUACCAUAUGAAUAAGCAUCGGCUAACUCCGUGCCAGCAGCCGCGGUAAUACGGAGGAUGCGAGCGUUAUCCGGAUUUAUUGGGUUUAAAGGGUGCGUAGGUGGUUAAUUAAGUCAGCGGUGAAAGUUUGUGGCUCAACCAUAAAAUUGCCGUUGAAACUGGUUGACUUGAGUAUAUUUGAGGUAGGCGGAAUGCGUGGUGUAGCGGUGAAAUGCAUAGAUAUCACGCAGAACUCCGAUUGCGAAGGCAGCUUACUAAACUAUAACUGACACUGAAGCACGAAAGCGUGGGGAUCAAACAGGAUUAGAUACCCUGGUAGUCCACGCAGUAAACGAUGAUUACUAGCUGUUUGCGAUACACAGUAAGCGGCACAGCGAAAGCGUUAAGUA
This 809-nucleotide ribosomal RNA is filed under the name uncultured bacterium. Its description in RNAcentral is "bacterial SSU rRNA". It matches the Rfam family "Bacterial small subunit ribosomal RNA", at positions 62 to 866 of the family's 1533-position model. The record is from RNAcentral.